AUGAAUACAUUGAAUCAAGAUGGUGUUCUUGACAGAACUGAGAGGGAACCGUUUGAUAGUGCUGAUCGUGAGAUAAUUUUGGCUGUCAAUGAUCCUGAGCAGUUGGAUUAUGUUGAUGCUCUGCCAAUGACAGAUGAGGAGCAGGACGCAAAAUUUUCUCAAGUUGCCGGAGUUAGUGUAUUCUCUUCUGAAGGAACUACCGAAGCUAUUUACAGUGCAGCUGGGGCCGUGAUAAGGGGUUCCGACCUUGUGGUUGAAGAGUAUUAUGAGACUGCUUUUGCAAUAAUCAGACCUCCAGGGCAUCAUGCUCAUAAGAUUUCUGAAGGUUUCUGCUUUUUGAACAAUGUUGCUAUAGCUACUCAACAUGUUGUUGACCACCAUCACAUCGAAAGAGCUUUGGUGGUUGAUUUCGACGUGCAUCAUGGCAAUGGCACGCAGGAACUCUUUUAUGGAAGCAAACAAGUUCUUUUCUUUUCCACACAUAGGAGAGAUCUCUCCUAUCCUGCAUCAAAAAGUAGCGUAAACGAUAUUGGUGACGGGGUGGGCUUGGGUUAUAAUAUAAAUGUUCCUCUCAAGAAAGGUUUUAAUGAUGUCGACAUGCUUUACGUAUGCGAUCAACUUCUCGGCCCUGUGGCCACUGCGUUUAAGCCAGAAGUAGUGUUCGUUUCUGCUGGUUAUGAUGCUGGGGAAGGUGAAACAAUAGGAGGUUGCAACGUUUCUGCAAAGGGUUUUGGCACGAUUGUCCGUAAGUUAUUGCCUCUCUCAGGAGGAAAAAUGGUAUUAGCUCUUGAAGGAGGGUAUAAUCUAGUUCAUCUUCCUAUAUGUGUUUCGCACACGAUUCGAGCAAUUUUGGGAGAUGAAGAUGCGUUCCUUCAGGAUUCUGAUUACAGAGAUAAACUUCCAUUCAAAAGCACCAUCCGCACAGUCAAUACCAUCAAGCAUAACUUGAGAUUAUGUUGGGAUGUUUUUAAGGCCAAGUCCUGA
This 984-nucleotide ribosomal RNA is filed under the name Triticum aestivum (bread wheat). RNAcentral describes it as "partial small subunit ribosomal RNA". Lineage: Eukaryota; Viridiplantae; Streptophyta; Magnoliopsida; Poales; Poaceae. The record is from RNAcentral.